This 1945-nucleotide ribosomal RNA is filed under the name human gut metagenome. RNAcentral's name for it is "bacterial LSU rRNA". It matches the Rfam family "Bacterial large subunit ribosomal RNA", at positions 1 to 1973 of the family's 2925-position model. The record is from RNAcentral.
UUAAGCGACUAAGCGUACACGGUGGAUGCCCUGGCAGUCAGAGGCGAUGAAGGACGUGCUAAUCUGCGAUAAGCGUCGGUAAGGUGAUAUGAACCGUUAUAACCGGCGAUUUCCGAAUGGGGAAACCCAGUGUGUUUCGACACACUAUCAUUAACUGAAUCCAUAGGUUAAUGAGGCGAACCGGGGGAACUGAAACAUCUAAGUACCCCGAGGAAAAGAAAUCAACCGAGAUUCCCCCAGUAGCGGCGAGCGAACGGGGAGCAGCCCAGAGCCUGAAUCAGUGUGUGUGUUAGUGGAAGCGUCUGGAAAGGCGCGCGAUACAGGGUGACAGCCCCGUACACAAAAAUGCACAUGCUGUGAGCUCGAUGAGUAGGGCGGGACACGUGGUAUCCUGUCUGAAUAUGGGGGGACCAUCCUCCAAGGCUAAAUACUCCUGACUGACCGAUAGUGAACCAGUACCGUGAGGGAAAGGCGAAAAGAACCCCGGCGAGGGGAGUGAAAAAGAACCUGAAACCGUGUACGUACAAGCAGUGGGAGCACGCUUAGGCGUGUGACUGCGUACCUUUUGUAUAAUGGGUCAGCGACUUAUAUUCUGUAGCAAGGUUAACCGAAUAGGGGAGCCGAAGGGAAACCGAGUCUUAACUGGGCGUUAAGUUGCAGGGUAUAGACCCGAAACCCGGUGAUCUAGCCAUGGGCAGGUUGAAGGUUGGGUAACACUAACUGGAGGACCGAACCGACUAAUGUUGAAAAAUUAGCGGAUGACUUGUGGCUGGGGGUGAAAGGCCAAUCAAACCGGGAGAUAGCUGGUUCUCCCCGAAAGCUAUUUAGGUAGCGCCUCGUGAAUUCAUCUCCGGGGGUAGAGCACUGUUUCGGCAAGGGGGUCAUCCCGACUUACCAACCCGAUGCAAACUGCGAAUACCGGAGAAUGUUAUCACGGGAGACACACGGCGGGUGCUAACGUCCGUCGUGAAGAGGGAAACAACCCAGACCGCCAGCUAAGGUCCCAAAGUCAUGGUUAAGUGGGAAACGAUGUGGGAAGGCCCAGACAGCCAGGAUGUUGGCUUAGAAGCAGCCAUCAUUUAAAGAAAGCGUAAUAGCUCACUGGUCGAGUCGGCCUGCGCGGAAGAUGUAACGGGGCUAAACCAUGCACCGAAGCUGCGGCAGCGACGCUUAUGCGUUGUUGGGUAGGGGAGCGUUCUGUAAGCCUGCGAAGGUGUGCUGUGAGGCAUGCUGGAGGUAUCAGAAGUGCGAAUGCUGACAUAAGUAACGAUAAAGCGGGUGAAAAGCCCGCUCGCCGGAAGACCAAGGGUUCCUGUCCAACGUUAAUCGGGGCAGGGUGAGUCGACCCCUAAGGCGAGGCCGAAAGGCGUAGUCGAUGGGAAACAGGUUAAUAUUCCUGUACUUGGUGUUACUGCGAAGGGGGGACGGAGAAGGCUAUGUUGGCCGGGCGACGGUUGUCCCGGUUUAAGCGUGUAGGCUGGUUUUCCAGGCAAAUCCGGAAAAUCAAGGCUGAGGCGUGAUGACGAGGCACUACGGUGCUGAAGCAACAAAUGCCCUGCUUCCAGGAAAAGCCUCUAAGCAUCAGGUAACAUCAAAUCGUACCCCAAACCGACACAGGUGGUCAGGUAGAGAAUACCAAGGCGCUUGAGAGAACUCGGGUGAAGGAACUAGGCAAAAUGGUGCCGUAACUUCGGGAGAAGGCACGCUGAUAUGUAGGUGAAGCGACUUGCUCGUGGAGCUGAAAUCAGUCGAAGAUACCAGCUGGCUGCAACUGUUUAUUAAAAACACAGCACUGUGCAAACACGAAAGUGGACGUAUACGGUGUGACGCCUGCCCGGUGCCGGAAGGUUAAUUGAUGGGGUUAGCGCAAGCGAAGCUCUUGAUCGAAGCCCCGGUAAACGGCGGCCGUAACUAUAACGGUCCUAAGGUAGCGAAAUUCCUUGUC